This is a non-coding RNA of Ictidomys tridecemlineatus (thirteen-lined ground squirrel), 4865 nucleotides long. The record is from RefSeq and is a predicted model, not a curated record. Lineage: Eukaryota; Metazoa; Chordata; Mammalia; Rodentia; Sciuridae.
CCAGCGGAGUCGUAUAUUUUAACCGAGCUGAGGUUCAUUCAUCGAUAAAUUGAGCCCAAGGAAUCGACUUCCUUCCAAGCCUUCCAAGCAGUCCAAGGAAACCAAUUUAAAAAGGAACAGGAAACUAACUGACCAACAGCAUCUGUCCUUGAAGCACUGGCGGCACAAUCUGGGAACGUGUGAGGCACCCUGGAGGCGUGAGGCUCUCCUCGAUUAAGGCUCACUGACCUCGAGCCCACCCUAAAGGACCCCGGGAUCCCCCAGCCGGCUUUCCUCGCCCCCUGCCAGGCGGAAAACCCCAGCCAAGCCGGCACGCGGGAGACGGGCGAGGAGGCGCCAGCGGGGCAACUGGGCAUGCUCAGAAGCUGGGCAGGUUUGGGUCUCAACCAGGCAGCUUGUGCAUUACACCAGCGCUAGCAGCGCUAGGAGGAGGAGGAGGAGGAACGCGAGCAGGAGGAGGAGGAGGAGGAACGCUAGGAGGAAGGGGAGGAAGAGAGGGCCAGCAGUAGCCGCGACCGCCACCACCAGGCAAGGAAGAGUUCGUGGGGAGGGACAGACCCUCCUCCCACUAGGAGCGUCUUCUGUCUGCUUUUGGAAAAGGGCAAUACAAAAUAAGGGAGAUAGAAAGGAGAAGGGGAAAAAAGUGAGAGGGCAGACGGGGGGAAAGGGCGUGAACAGAAAGGACCGGAGCGUGCAAGAGAACUCAGGGCGCGGGGGCUGCUCUCCCUAGUCCGGGGCGCUGCCUUUGGGGCAGGUGCUGCUGCUGCUGCCCAGUGGCGGCAUGUGAUGAGCGGCCGCAACUGCCCGCGGGCGGAGUGCUCUCGGACCCGGGAGCGCACACCGCGGGGCAAGUCGGUGCCAUCCCGGAUCCCCGUGCUCUUCGUUGGUCCGCCACGGCAGCAGCAGCGCUUCUGGGAAGACCCGCGAUGAAUCGAAGGGCGGCUCCGGCCAGGGACACCAGAGACUAAGGACAGCAGCUCCCUGAACGUCCACCGGCAGAAGACCAAGAGAUCGUGGACCAGACGACCCAGUGCUCUGGGCAGGCGCGGAGGACCGGCGUGGGACGGCCACCUGGAGCGCAGCUGCCAGAUAUGCAGAGUAAUGGCACAUACUUCCGUUACAAGUUGCUCAGUGGCCUAUGGACUGAAUGAAUGUAUCCAUCCCCAUCAUGAUGUACAACAUCAAGGCUCUUCACAACACCUGUGUUCUGAUUAGUGGCCAAAUAAGUGACAUUUGGAACCUCAGCUAAAGUACAGUAAGCUUUUAUGGUGGCAUGGCACCUGGUUUCUCUCUCCAAGGAAAGUCCAGCCAACAGCCCUUGACACACUGGAUUGUUUGAUGAUCCCACCUGAAGUAGCCCAUCUGAUUCUCCACAGCCCACCCUGAUCCUGAGGGCUCAUCUUUCACCUUGAAAAGAUACUUGUGCUUGGAAUUCCCACCAGAAUAUUAAAUCAACGCCUCCGAUACCGAGGCUGGGGCUGCAGAAUUUUGAACAUUUCCUCAGACGAUUGUGACAUGCAGCCCGUCUCCCGUGUCUUCACGGCUCUCUGUGUUGGCGGUCAUCACCCUUGUCCAAGCCACAUUCACCACUUCCUUCUUGUACCGUCUUUCACGAGAGUCCCUGGUUCUCUUUCCCAUUUCCACCUCGUCCCUGUUCAAUCCAUCCUAGGCCCAGCAGCCAGAAUAAACAUAUUUAUAGGAAAGUAUCAGUUAAUUCCUGCCUAAUAAUAGUAAUAAUAAUAAUGGAUGAGGAUCACUUAUACAUUGAACAAAGGAUCAGAGUUCAGGCUUUGCCCAAGGCCAGAGUCCUGGGGUUUUUAAGUUUUAGGAGGAAAUAGAGGAAAGGGUCUAAAAGCAGCAAGUGAAGAGACCAAGGCUGAUUACUCCACUUUCUUCUCUGGCCUGUUGCCCAAUCUGAGUGUUGGAUAAAUUGCCACCCAAUCUGUGUCCCCAUCUCACUUGACCAUAAGGAGCAAAGAGAUAUUAUAAUUUGGUGGUGACACUAUUGCAAGACUAACUUCAUGUCACAGCCUCCAAAGUUCACUAAAUGUCCUUCCUUUGUACUUGAAUGAUUCACUUAGCAAAAUAAGUUGAUCUUGGUGAAUUUUCAGGCAGAGUCACAGAACUAGAGAUGUCUUCUGCUGUCAGACAUGUGGACGACUGUCCUUUUCACCAAGGGAUAAGGGAUAAUGUACCUCUUAACAUCCACCUGAACUACAGCAGGAACAGACUUUUCUCUAGGGACUACCUAAAGUAUUAUUUCAGCCACUGCACUUAGUCUUCACCCCCUAGCAUGGUAUCUAGUGCAUUUCCCAUCAGAAGGGAGGUGACAGGGGUGUCAAAAGAAAGUUUUCUUCAGAAAAGUCACCCUGGGAGGCAUAGUGAUGUUAUUGCCAUCAGGGUUUAGUAAGGAAUCAAGAAAUUCAAACCCUACCAAAGCUGCAUGGAAAUCUGGGUCCACAUCAGCACUGCUGGAGCAGGACAGUGACAACUUUGACUUCAUACUGGUGACAACUUUUGCCUUCACUUUAAAACCAUCACUGUUUUAUGGUUUUCACUAUUAAAAAAAAAAAAAAAAGUUCAAGGCCCUGUGUUGAAAGAAUAGUGAAAUUGUUCACGUGUUGUUCAGAUAAUUGAGACCAACCAAGGCAGGUAGUCAGCCAGCUGGUAUUGAGUUAAGGCUGAGGCCCAGCUGCUUCUUUACCCUGAGCUGUUUUCAUUAGUGAAGCGGAAGUGCAUUUGGGGACCUAAAUUGCCCAAAGGAUAGGCCUGUGUGGAGCUAUCUUGAGUUUAAGAAAACAGUUGUCCUUUUAAGUUUUCUCUUAAAUAUUUAUUUUGGGAUAGAAAUGGAGACUAAAAUACAGAGACACACAAACAUACUGAACAUCCCUGGAGACAUAUUAUGGAGCACUGCUUAUUCAUGCAAUGUCUUUCUGUUCCCUUUGGGGACCAAGACGGACUGGCCUGUGUACAGCUCCCUUCCAUGGUGAACAGAGCUGUAAUGAGGUCACAGAUUCUUUUCAUGUCAUUUUGGAAAUUUCUCUGAAAGGACUCAGUUGGCAAUGGAUGCCCCUUACAAUCUAGUGUUACAUAUUAGCACAGGCAAAGCUUUUCAAAUAAUGUAAAGCCAUUUUUUUUUCCCAAAUGCCUUGUAUCCCUGAGUGUCUAGGUUCCAAAUAAAGGAAGAUUAAAAUCUCUGUGAAAUCUAUAAUAGAGCCACCACAUGGAACUGUCAGCAGGAGGGGAAUUAAUGGUGUCUGAAAUGAACCUUGGGUUGAAUGUACGUCACCUUGCAUAUUCUACUAUUUUUUUUUAUUUGCCAUUAAUUCCCUUUAAUCAGGGAGGUUGGCUGAAACUGAAGCACCAUUGGUUAGGAUUCAUUAAAAUAAUCUAAUGUAAAAUGGAAGUGUAUUCUGUUUUUAUUACAGUGCAGGUACAAUAUGGACACUGGAUAAUGUUGAGUUGAUGGUGAAGAUUUGUAUUACUUUAUGCUGACACACCAAAUGACUCAAAAAUGUGCAUUUGUCAGUAGAUACUUACUAUCAUAUCAACCUUUUUUUUAUUCCUAUCAUUUUGGGGGCACUCUAUAGUAACUCUUAAGAGUGAUUAUUUUAGAAGAAAGAAAUGGACUCUUCCAGCCUCCUCCAUGCUUGGACCAUGUUAGACUUAUAUAAAUACUUGUGAAGUGAGUAAAUGGAUAAUUCAGAUGCAUUUUUAUUUUAAAUACAAGCAAAUGAAAUCACACCACAGCUAGGAACAGACUUAACCAAUGAAAUAGACACAUAAAGCAAUGAGCAAUAAAAAUGGAGAUUCGUCAGGUUAUAGACACAUCUGGGAGGCUCUGCUGAAGCAAAGAGCUGGGCAUCACUUUUAAAGGACUUGCGCAGAGCCAAAGGCCACAAAAACUAAUAUUUUUGUUAGCAGCUCAUCUUGAUUUUACUAAGGAAUGGCUACCGGCUUCUCAUUUCUCCUUCCCCAAUAUUUUUUUCUUUAAGGCCUUUUUUUUUUCUUGUUCCUGCCAUUUUGAGGAUAUAUUCUAAUGUAAAGAAUCCUGAUUGAGGCCUCUUAUCUCUAACAAUUUUGCUAGAUCCAUGUGAACAAACACUAAGAGAAAAAGUUCUGUAGCAUCCUUGUAAACUAGUCUGAUACAAAAGCAGGAAUACUUGUAAACUAUCACAUAGCUUCUGCUCUUAUCCAGUCAAGUAAUAGAUAUCUGUAUCUACAUAUCCCAUUAACUUAAAAAACAUUGCUUUGUUUUUCUUUUCCCAAAACUAUUUUACCGAGCUGGUUUUCAACGAAGAUGUAAUGACUCAAUUCUUUAACUUUCUUCAAACCAUCAUUAAUGCAAUAUUUAUAGUGUAAAGCUAAGGUUAUUCACGUGGAGUAAACACACCGUGCAUGCUUCGUGCUCGAGUCCAUCUUCCUCUGAGACAGGUGAUGUUGUGCAUCCGUGCAUUUGUGGUCUAAAGUGCCUUCACACAGUGGGUCAGCAGUUCCGUGGUGACGGCGUGAGCUUUGCCUCUAGCAGUCCUGGUUCACACCCUAGAUUAAAACGUGCUCUUUGCCUGUCCUUGUUUCUUGACUCAUCCUCUGCAUGCCCUCUCUGCCCAUGAGGACAACAGGGCCCACUUAGGGGCUACUGAGAGGACCCAGUGAAAUGAAGUACACAGAAUGCUUGCUCCAUGACUAGGCAAGGGAAGAGUCCAAGAGUGGUGAUUUGAAUAGGCAUUAAAAGUUUGCUUUUAAUACAAACAUUUUAAGUUUUUGAAAAUAAUAUUUGCCACUAACAUUUUGAAGAGACUAUAUGUCUUUGAAUUAGUUUUUAUUCUAAAGUCUACUUAUAUUCUCCUUUCCUAUAUCCAGUC